UGCAAGUCGAGUGCGCGGUUGUAGCAAUACAACUGGCGCACGGCGCACGGGUGCGUAACACGUGGGCAAUCUGCCCUUCGAUGGGGAAUAACUCCGGGAAACCGAAGCUAAUUCCGCAUAACAUUCCUUGGACUUCGGUUCGAGGACUCAAAGCCAUAAGGCGUCGAAGGAGGAGCCCGCGCCCGAUUAGCUAGUUGGUGGGGUAACGGCCCACCAAGGCAAUGAUCGGUAGCUGGCCUGAGAGGAUGGCCAGCCACACUGGAACUGAGACACGGUCCAGACUCCUACGGGAGGCAGCAGUGGGGAAUCUUGCACAAUGGGCGAAAGCCUGAUGCAGCGACGCCGCGUGGGGGAUGAAGCAUCUCGGUGUGUAAACCCCUUUCGACCCGGAAGAAUGCCUCGCAAGAGGACUGACGGUACGGGUAUAAGAAGCCCCGGCUAACUACGUGCCAGCAGCCGCGGUAAGACGUAGGGGGCCAGCGUUGUUCGGAAUUACUGGGUGUAAAGGGUUCGUAGGCGGUGCGGCAAGUCGGGAGUGAAAUCUCUGGGCUCAACCCAGAGGCUGCUUCCGAAACUGCCGUGCUUGAGUGUGGGAGAGGCGCGUGGAAUUGCAGGUGUAGCGGUGAAAUGCGUAGAUAUCUGCAGGAACACCCGUGGCGAAAGCGGCGCGCUGGACCACUACUGACGCUGAGGAACGAAAGCUAGGGGAGCAAACAGGAUUAGAUACCCUGGUAGUCCUAGCCCUAAACGAUCAGGACUUGGGGUGCCACCCGUUCGGGUGUCGUCCCGGAGCUAACGCGUUAAGUCCUGCACCUGGGGAGUACGGUCGCAAGACUGAAACUCAAAGGAAUUGACGGGGGCCCGCACAAGCGGUGGAACAUGUGGUUCAAUUCACGCUACGCGAGGAACCUUACCUGGGCUCGAAAUGCUGGUGA
This 935-nucleotide ribosomal RNA is filed under the name uncultured Pseudomonadota bacterium. RNAcentral describes it as "bacterial SSU rRNA". It matches the Rfam family "Bacterial small subunit ribosomal RNA", at positions 56 to 995 of the family's 1533-position model. Lineage: Bacteria; Pseudomonadati; Pseudomonadota. The record is from RNAcentral.